This 945-nucleotide small RNA is filed under the name Pongo abelii (Sumatran orangutan). RNAcentral describes it as "retained intron". The record is from RNAcentral. Lineage: Eukaryota; Metazoa; Chordata; Mammalia; Primates; Hominidae.
GGAAGCGGUUUGGGAGAGCCCAUGGUGACUACGUGAGUGGAGCCCAGCUGUGUGGAUGCCCCAGCAUGGAUGACUACAUGGUCCUGAGAAUGAUUGGGGAGGGCUCCUUCGGCAGAGCUCUUUUGGUUCAGCAUGAAAGCAGUAAUCAGAUGUUUGCCAUGAAAGAAAUAAGGCUUCCCAAGUCUUUCUCUAAUACACAGAAUUCUAGGAAGGAGGCUGUUCUUUUAGCCAAAAUGAAACACCCUAAUAUUGUUGCCUUCAAAGAAUCAUUUGAAGCUGAAGGACACUUGUAUAUUGUGAUGGAAUACUGUGAUGGAGGUGAUCUAAUGCAAAAGAUUAAACAGCAAAAAGGAAAGUUAUUUCCUGAAGACAUGAUUCUUAAUUGGUUUACCCAAAUGUGCCUUGGAGUAAAUCACAUUCACAAGAAACGUGUACUACACAGAGAUAUCAAGUCCAAGAAUAUCUUCCUCACUCAGAAUGGAAAAGUGAAAUUGGGAGACUUUGGAUCUGCCCGUGUUCUCUCCAAUCCGAUGGCAUUUGCUUGUACCUAUGUGGGAACACCUUAUUAUGUGCCUCCAGAAAUUUGGGAAAACCUGCCUUAUAACAAUAAAAGUGACAUCUGGUCCUUGGGUUGCAUCCUGUAUGAACUCUGUACCCUUAAGCAUCCAGUAAGUAUGGCGUGCAAAAUGGAAAAGGCAGCUUGUCAUAUCUAGCUGAGUCCUAAUAAUGUGACAGAUUCUAGUUGGCAGUUUGCUUCCCUAGGAUGAAGUCAUUAUAAAAGUUUGUAUAUGUUUCCAGUGCAGUCAUCUGCCCUGAGUUAGUUUUGUAGCAUAUACUAAUAGGAAUUUUCCAUUAUUUAGUUUGGCUGUGCAAUAUAUAACCUUUCUCUCUCUCUUUUUCCUUCUCUUUUCCUCUUUUCUUUCUUUUUGCUAUUCUUAAUUUUUU